Molecule: ribosomal RNA, 275 nt
Filed under: uncultured bacterium
Lineage: Bacteria
Description: partial 16S ribosomal RNA
Rfam family: Bacterial small subunit ribosomal RNA
Source: RNAcentral
UUUCUCCGCCGGCGACCGGCGCACGGGUGAGUAACACGUAUGCAACCUGCCCCUGUCAGGGGACAACCCGCCGAAAGGCGGGCUAAACCCGCGUACAUGCCACCGGGGCAUCCCGGAGGCAGGAAAGGCUUCGGCCGGACAGGGAUGGGCAUGCGGCGCAUUAGGCAGUAGGCGGGGUAACGGCCCACCUAACCGACGAUGCGUAGGGGGUUCUGAGAGGAAGGUCCCCCACACUGGUACUGAGACACGGACCAGACUCCUACGGGAGGCAGCAG